AGUGAACGCUGGCGGUAGGCCUAACACAUGCAAGUCGAACGGCAGCACAGUAAGAGCUUGCUCUUACGGGUGGCGAGUGGCGGACGGGUGAGGAAUACAUCGGAAUCUACUUUUUCGUGGGGGAUAACGUAGGGAAACUUACGCUAAUACCGCAUACGACCUACGGGUGAAAGCAGGGGAUCUUCGGACCUUGCGCGAUUGAAUGAGCCGAUGUCGGAUUAGCUAGUUGGCGGGGUAAAGGCCCACCAAGGCGACGAUCCGUAGCUGGUCUGAGAGGAUGAAUAGGCAAAAUGGAAAUGAAACAAGGUCCAGGACCCCAAGGGAGGGCACAAGGGGGAAAAAUGGGCAAAGGGCGGAAGCCUGAACCAGGCAAAACGGGUGGGUGGAAGAAGCCUUCCGGGUUGUAAAGCCCUUUGUUGGGAAAGAAAAGCAGCAGGUUAAUACCCCGCUGUUCUGACGGUACCCAAAGAAUAAGCACCGGCUAACUUCGUG
This 492-nucleotide ribosomal RNA is filed under the name uncultured bacterium. Its description in RNAcentral is "partial 16S ribosomal RNA". It matches the Rfam family "Bacterial small subunit ribosomal RNA", at positions 29 to 507 of the family's 1533-position model. The record is from RNAcentral.